AUACGGAGGGUGCGAGCGUUAAUCGGAAUUACUGGGCGUAAAGCGCGCGUAGGCGGUUAAGUAAGUCGGAUGUGAAAGCCCUGAGCUCAACUUGGGAAUGGCAUUCGAUACUGCUUGACUAGAGUCUGGUAGAGGGAAGUGGAAUUCUCGGUGUAGCGGUGAAAUGCGUAGAUAUCGGGAGGAACAUCAGUGGCGAAGGCGACUUCCUGGACCAAGACUGACGCUGAGGUGCGAAAGCGUGGGGAGCAAACAGGAUUAGAAACCCGGGUAGUCC
RNAcentral lists this ribosomal RNA (274 nucleotides) under uncultured bacterium. RNAcentral describes it as "partial 16S ribosomal RNA". It matches the Rfam family "Bacterial small subunit ribosomal RNA", at positions 523 to 796 of the family's 1533-position model. The record is from RNAcentral.